UACUUGUUUGCUUAUAGGACAUAAGCCCAUCACAGGGCUUACCCAGCUGCCUUUGAGAAAUGUUUGGGGUCACAUUGGCUAAAAUUAAGUACUUUGUGGUGAACUGGAUUUGACUGGAACUAAAGGAUCGACUUCCAAGCUCACUCCUGUGGCUGUCGGCAGGAGGCUUCAGUUCCUUACCACAUAGACCUUUCCACAGCAUGAGGGCUCCAGUGUCUGCAGAUUUGACUGGAACUAGAGGAUCAACUUCCAAGCUGGAACUAGAGGAUCAACUUCCAAGCUCACUCCUAUGGGUGCUGGCAGGACGCUUCAGUUCCUCACCACAUAGACCUUUUCACAGCAUGGCUUCCUCUAAAUUCUCCUGGCCAACUCUUCAAUAGCACAGGUCCAAGACCGCCAUGACAUAGGAAUGGAUGAACAGUUGAUAUGGAUCAUGCGUGGGGGAUAGAAGGUGAACGUCGGUGAACAGGCUCGGUCAUCCCCUUCCCUGAGGUGCUUGCUUCCUUCCACUCAUGCCUUUGUGUGAUCUCGCCCCUUAAGUAUGGGCAGGGCUUCUGACUUGCUUCUGACCAACGGAACGUGGCAAAGUCAAUGGGAGGCCACUCUGUGAUGACGCUGGGUUAAAAAAGACCCU
This 634-nucleotide long non-coding RNA is filed under the name Homo sapiens (human). Its description in RNAcentral is "HSALNT0353340". The record is from RNAcentral. Lineage: Eukaryota; Metazoa; Chordata; Mammalia; Primates; Hominidae.